Molecule: ribosomal RNA, 478 nt
Filed under: uncultured bacterium
Lineage: Bacteria
Description: partial 16S ribosomal RNA
Rfam family: Bacterial small subunit ribosomal RNA
Source: RNAcentral
GACGAACGCUGGCGGCGUGCUUAACACAUGCAAGUCGAACGGUAAGGCCCUUCGGGGUACACGAGUGGCGAACGGGUGAGAAACACGUGGGUGAUCUGCCCUGCACUUCGGGAUAAGCCUGGGAAACUGGGUCUAAUACCGGAUAGGACCACUGCCUGCAUGGGUGGUGGUGGAAAGCUUUUGCGGUGUGGGAUGGGCCCGCGGCCUAUCAGCUUGUUGGUGGGGUGAUGGCCUACCAAGGCGACGACGGGUAGCCGGCCUGAGAGGGUGACCGGCCACACUGGGACUGGGAUACGGCCCAGACUCCUACGGGAGGCAGCAGUGGGGAAUAUUGCACAAUGGGCGCAAGCCUGAUGCAGCGACGCCGCGUGAGGGAUGACGGCCUUCGGGUUGUAAACCUCUUUCAGCACCGACGAAGCGCAAGUGACGGUAGGUGCAGAAGAGGGACCGGCCAACUACGUGCCAGCCGCCGCGGUAA